Molecule: long non-coding RNA, 2633 nt
Organism: Microplitis mediator
Lineage: Eukaryota; Metazoa; Arthropoda; Insecta; Hymenoptera; Braconidae
Exons: 2
Source: RefSeq, a predicted model, not a curated record
UAAAAAGGUAAAAUAUAUGAAAGUCAGAUAUUUUUUAGCAGCUUUCAAAGUUUCAAGUAAAUAAUUACUACUUUAAAAUUUACAUUACACAUGAGCAUUACCUACUAAUAUAAAUCUUGAAAAACUCAUUAAUAAUUCAUUAAAAAUUUUAAAAUAUCCGCAGACGGAUCCAGUUUCCUACUACAUAAUUUGUGGAAAUUAGAAUUAUUUAAAAUUUUAUGUAGAGUAGAAGCACCAAUUUUGGACACUUCAUGUUAAUAUAGAGAGAAUAUAAAAAUAUUAUUACUGUAAUAAAAGUAAUUGAUGUAUCUCUUAAUAUUAUUCGUUGCCGUGACUAUAGUAAAAUGUAAAGUUAUAAAAUAACGGUAAUUUAGAACAAUGUUUGUAGAAUGUAACGCUGUUGAUUUUUAACUUUUAUUCUACAAACAUUGCUCUGAAUUACCGUUACUUUAUAAGUCGGUAUUUAAUUAAAUACGACAAAAACUUUUGUAAAGUUUUUGCGUAUCGUAUAAAUCACAUCAGAAUUCUUUGAGUGUCCAGAACCGGUAAAUCCUUCGCUCUUUUACUCUUGUGUAUAAGAAAAAUUCAUAAUGCAUUUCCUAGGUCAGUGGAAUGAAUUGAACAAAAAAUAUACAGGAUACCGAGCCGUAAAUAAUAUAAAUAAACUAAUAUUUUACAGAAUUACGAUGCCAAUACUUUCAUAUUCAAAUAAAAAUAGCCAAUAGUAUCGCUAAUGCCAUAAAAAAGUAUAUGAAUUUAUAUAUAUAUAAAUGUCUACCAUUAGAGUAUUUUUUCCCAAACAAUAGGUAUAACAAUUACAACUAUAAAGAUAAAUAAAUAAUUGUAAUAAUGAAAAAAUAAUGAAAUAUAAUCAAACUAAAUGACGAACUAGUCAAUUUACAAUUGAUACGUAAAAGUAUUAAUAAUUUAUUUUUUCAUUAAUUUCAUAUAAUUUGUAAAAGUUAAAGUUAUGUCAUUUUUUUUAAUUUGCGAGUUACCAUUAAAAAAUUGUUAUUUUGAUUUUUUUAAAAGAUUAGAUUUUUUAUAUUGCAACCAAUGCAAAUGUUUAAGGAAAAUUAAAUAAUGUAAUGUGUAAAUUUAUCUUAACUACACGGUGUAAUUAUUCUUGUUUGAAACGCUAUGGUGUCGUGGUAAAGCCGGAGCAUGUGGGCCAACUGAUGGAAAUGUAAAUAAACCCAUAGAAAAAUUAUUGUAAUCAUUGAAAAGUUUACGGUAGCCACAGUAAUUUUUCUAUGGGUUUAUUUAAAUUUUCGUAAUGUGACCAACAUGGACCGACUUUAUACCAUAGAGGCGUAGGUUCAAAUCCCACUGGAGCCGAAAGAAAUCUUUACACACAAAGUGUGAAGUCUUUCGAUCCUGAGAUUCGACCCGUCAUCGACCUUUAGAAUUAGAUCUGGUUUGUAAAGUGAAUUUGAUGUGGGUUGAAGAUUUGAGUUUGAGUUUGAAUCCGACUGUUGGCUGGACAUGAGAUUGUCAGAGGCAUAAUAAUAUAUAUAUUUAUAUAUAUCAUAAAAAAAAAAAAAAAGUAAUAUCAUAGUAUUUCAAACAGGAAUAAUGUCUCCGUGUAAAAACAUGUAAACCAGAAGACUGAAGAUACUAUUAUAAUGCUUGCAAGUUUUAAUAUAGAUUAGAUACAAAGAAAAAAAAUUGUCUAGUAGAAAUUUUCGAGUACUGCGUAACGAUUUUGACUGAAAUUAUUUUUAUUUAUUAUUGUUAUUGUAAUUAUUACUUUAGUCCUAAUUGCCAGCAAAAGAUCUCCAAACUUUUCCGAUUUAAGGUCAUUCCUAGAUGAUGUCUCCACUUUUUCAAUCAAUCAAAUGAUCCCUCAUAAAAAAAAAUAAAAGGAAUUGUUAAAAAAAAGAUGGUGUGGCUUAAAUUUUGAUAUAUAUUUUUGAAAAAAUAAUUGUGUUGAAUCUUAACGAAAUUUGUUGAAAGCCUAGAAAGUUUGACAUUUCGAAUUGCAAAUAUACCCGGAAAAUUUUGAUGCAAUUAAUAAAUAUAUCGAAUGAUAUUUAAUAGAAAAAGUUGGAAGCAACAUCUAAGAAUGUCCUUAAAAAAAAAACAUUCAUAAAAAAAGUAUAUAAAAAUAAAAUUUUCAUUCUUUUACUUGAUACCUGAUCUGGGGACUGUGAUUCGGCAGUUUUGCGCUUAAUCUAUCUAUAAAUAUGUGCCUACAAAAGGUAUUACAAAAAGCCAAUGGCGAUUGCCAAAAAAAAGUAAAAAAUAAAAAUAAACAAAAACCUUAAGAACAAAAAAUAGUUGAACACUUUAACGAAUUUAAAAAAGUUAACGAAUCAAAUAAUUAUCUAUUUUUAUUUACAACAGACUAGUUAUAUAUUUUUUCAGCUUGUUUAUUUAUUGUAAGCCCACCGACUUUUAUAUAUUUUUUUUUUUACUUAACUAAUUUUUUUCUUAUUAAUUUAUAUUUUUUUUUAUUAUAAAAGUCUGAUAGACAUAAGAUCAAAGUAUUAAGAGUGUGAUGUGUGUAUAGUAUAUAUGUAACUAAUUAAUUAGUUAAUAAGAUUUUUUGUUUAAUUUAUUAAUUAAAGAAGCCUUGAACGGCAAAUCAGGACAUGAAUUUUGGAUUUUUAUUUUUCAUUAUCAACAUUUAU